UUGGAGGGCAAGUCUGGUGCCAGCAGCCGCGGUAAUUCCAGCUCCAAUAGCGUAUAUUAAAGUUGUUGCAGUUAAAAAGCUCGUAGUUGAAUUUCGGGGUUCUACCGUUGGUCGGGCUUUGUCUGUACUGGUGUGUAGAAUUUCUACCUUCUGGGGAACCAUCAUGCUAUUAAUUUAGCGUGGUGGGAAACCAGGACCUUUACCUUGAAAAAAUUAGUGUGUUCAAAGCAGGCUUAUGUCUGAAUACAUUAGCGUGGAAUAAUAGAAUAGGACGGUGGUCCUGUUUUGUUGGUUUCUGAAUCACCGUAAUGAUUAAUAGGGAUAGUUGGGGGCAUUAGUAUUCAAUUGUCAGAGGUGAAAUUCUUGGAUUUAUUGAAGACUAACUUCUGCGAAAGCAUUUGCCAAGGAUGUUUUCAUUAAUCAAGAACGAAAGUUAGGGGAUCGAAGACGAUCAGAUACCGUCGUAGUCUUAACCAUAAACUAUGCCGACUAGGGAUCGGACGAGGUUAAUUUUUCUUGACUCGUUCGGCGCCUUACGGGAAAC
Molecule: ribosomal RNA, 544 nt
Filed under: uncultured Glomeromycotina
Lineage: Eukaryota; Fungi; Glomeromycota
Description: SSU rRNA
Rfam family: Eukaryotic small subunit ribosomal RNA
Source: RNAcentral